RNAcentral lists this ribosomal RNA (138 nucleotides) under uncultured bacterium. RNAcentral's name for it is "partial 16S ribosomal RNA". The record is from RNAcentral.
GCACGGAAGUUAGCCGGAGGCUUCUUCUGCGGGUACCGUCAUCAUCUUCCCCGCCGAAAGAGCUUUACAACCCUAAGGCCUUCAUCACUCACGCGGCAUGGCUGGAUCAGGGUUGCCCCCAUUGUCCAAUAUUCCCCA